This 516-nucleotide ribosomal RNA is filed under the name uncultured bacterium. Its description in RNAcentral is "bacterial SSU rRNA". It matches the Rfam family "Bacterial small subunit ribosomal RNA", at positions 791 to 1329 of the family's 1533-position model. The record is from RNAcentral.
UAGUCCACGCCGUAAACGAUGUCAACUAGCCGUUGGGUCCAUUUAAGGGCUUAGUGGCGCAGCUAACGCGAUAAGUUGACCGCCUGGGGAGUACGCCGGCAACGGUAAAACUCAAAUGAAUUGACGGGGGCCCGCACAAGCGGUGGAGCAUGUGGUUUAAUUCGAUGCAACGCGAAAAACCUUACCUACCCUUGACAUCCUCAGAACUUGUUAGAGAUAACUUGGUGCCUUAGGGAAUGCGAACACAGGUGCUGCAUGGCUGUCGUCAGCUCGUGUCGUGAGAUGUUGGGUUAAGUCCCGCAACGAGCGCAACCCUCGUCCUUAGUUGCCAGCAUUUAGUUGGGCACUCUAGGGAGACUGCCGGUGCUAAGCCGGAGGAAGGUGGGGAUGACGUCAAGUCCUCAUGGCCCUUACGGGUAGGGCUACACACGUGCUACAAUGGCGCUGACAGAGGGUUAAUCCCUAAAAGGCGUCUCAGUUCGGAUUGUCUUCUGCAACUCGAAGGCAUGAAGUUGG